This 253-nucleotide ribosomal RNA is filed under the name uncultured bacterium. Its description in RNAcentral is "partial 16S ribosomal RNA". It matches the Rfam family "Bacterial small subunit ribosomal RNA", at positions 524 to 776 of the family's 1533-position model. The record is from RNAcentral.
UACGUAGGGACCAAGCGUUGUUCGGAUUUACUGGGCGUAAAGGGCGCGUAGGCGGCAAUUCAAGUCAGCUGUGAAAUCUCCGGGCUUAACUCGGAACGGUCAGCUGAUACUGCUUUGCUAGAGUGCAGAAGGGGCAAUCGGAAUUCUUGGUGUAGCGGUGAAAUGCGUAGAUAUCAAGAGGAACACCUGAGGUGAAGACGGGUUGCUGGGCUGACACUGACGCUGAGGUGCGAAAGCGUGGGGAGCAAACAGG